RNAcentral lists this ribosomal RNA (467 nucleotides) under uncultured bacterium. RNAcentral describes it as "partial 16S ribosomal RNA". It matches the Rfam family "Bacterial small subunit ribosomal RNA", at positions 28 to 507 of the family's 1533-position model. The record is from RNAcentral.
GACGAACGCUGGCGGCGUGCUUAACACAUGCAAGUCGAACGGAAAGGCCUCUUUCGGGGGGUACUCGAGUGGCGAACGGGUGAGUAACACGUGAGUAACCUGCCCUUGACUUUGGGAUAACUUCAGGAAACUGGGGCUAAUACCGGAUAGGAGCUCCUGCUGCAUGGUGGGGGUUGGAAAGUUUCGGCGGUUGGGGAUGGACUCGCGGCUUAUCAGCUUGUUGGUGGGGUAGUGGCUUACCAAGGCUUAGACGGGUAGCCGGCCUGAGAGGGUGACCGGCCACAUUGGGACUGAGAUACGGCCCAGACUCCUACGGGAGGCAGCAUUGGGGAAUAUUGCACAAUGGGUGGAAGCCUGAUGCAGCAACGCCGUGUGCGGGAUGACGGCCUUCGGGUUGUAAACCGCUUUCGCUCAUGACGAAGCUUUGUGUGACGGUAGUGGGUAAAGAAGCACCGGCUAACUACGUG